UGGGGAAUUUUGGACAAUGGGCGCAAGCCUGAUCCAGCAAUGCCGCGUGCAGGAAGAAGGCCUUCGGGUUGUAAACCGCUUUUGUCAGGGAAGAAACGAGUUUCUCUAAUACAGAGACUUAAUGACGGUACCUGAAGAAUAAGCACCGGCUAACUACGUGCCAGCAGCCGCGGUAAUACGUAGGGUGCGAGCGUUAAUCGGAAUUACUGGGCGUAAAGCGUGCGCAGUCGGUUAUAUAAGACAGAUGUGAAAUCCCCGGGCUCAACCUGGGACCUGCAUUUGUGACUGUAUAGCUAGAGUACGGUAGAGAGGGAUGGAAUUCCGCGUGUAGCAGUGAAAUGCGUAGAUAUGCGGAGGAACACCGAUGGCGAAGGCAAUCCCCUGGACCUGUACUGACGCUCAUGCACGAAAGCGUGGGGAGCAAACA
Molecule: ribosomal RNA, 427 nt
Filed under: uncultured bacterium
Lineage: Bacteria
Description: bacterial SSU rRNA
Rfam family: Bacterial small subunit ribosomal RNA
Source: RNAcentral